This 687-nucleotide unclassified non-coding RNA is filed under the name Speonomites antemi. RNAcentral describes it as "partial contains 16S ribosomal RNA (rrnL) and tRNA-Leu (trnL)". The stretch from base 384 to 542 matches the Rfam family "Bacterial large subunit ribosomal RNA", at positions 2473 to 2632 of the family's 2925-position model. Lineage: Eukaryota; Metazoa; Arthropoda; Insecta; Coleoptera; Leiodidae. The record is from RNAcentral.
GUCUUAUUGAUUAUAAUUUUAAGUCUAAUCUGCCCAAUGAGUAAUUAAAUGGCUGCAGUAUUUUAACUGUACAAAGGUAGCAUAAUAAUUAGUUUCUUAAUUAGGAACUGGAAUGAAUGAUUGGACGAGAUAGUAACUGUCUUAAUUUAAAUUUUAGAAUUUUAUUUUUAAGUUAAAAAGCUUAAAUUUUUUUAAAAGACGAGAAGACCCUAUAGAAUUUUAUAUUAUUUAAAUAUUUUAUUUGAAGGAAUUAAAUAUAGGAUUUUUUAAUGAAUAUUUAGUUGGGGUGAUUGAAAAAUUUAUUGAACUUUUUUUUAUUAUUAACAUUAAUUUAUGAUUAAUAUGAUCCAAUUUUUUUGAUUAUAAGAUUAAAUUACCUUAGGGAUAACAGCGUAAUUUUUUUAGAGAGCUCUAAUCGAUAAAAGAGAUUGCGACCUCGAUGUUGGAUUAAAGUUUAUUUUUAAUGUAGGAGUUAAAAUAUUAGGUCUGUUCGACCUUUAAAACUUUACAUGAUCUGAGUUUAAACCGGCGUGAGCCAGGUUGGAUUCUAUCUUUAAUAAAAUUAAAUAUUUUAGUACGAAAGGACCAAAUAUUUAUUAUAAUAAUUUUUUUAGAAUAUUAUUAUUAUUUUGGCAGAUUAGUGCUUUAAAUUUAGAAUUUAAUUAUGUGAAUAUACACAAAUAAUAC